This 253-nucleotide ribosomal RNA is filed under the name uncultured bacterium. RNAcentral describes it as "partial 16S ribosomal RNA". It matches the Rfam family "Bacterial small subunit ribosomal RNA", at positions 524 to 776 of the family's 1533-position model. The record is from RNAcentral.
UACAUGGGGUGCAAACGUUGCUCGGAAUUACUGGGCGUAAAGCGCACGUAGGCGGAUUUGUAAGUCAGGGGUGAAAUCCCGGGGCUCAACCUCGGAACUGCCUUUGAUACUGCAAAUCUCGAGUCCGGAAGAGGUGAGUGGAAUUCCUAGUGUAGAGGUGAAAUUCGUAGAUAUUAGGAAGAACACCAGUGGCGAAGGCGGCUCACUGGUCCGGUACUGACGCUGAGGUGCGAAAGCGUGGGGAGCAAACAGG